CUCCUGCGCCCCGGGGUGGGGCUGGCCGGGCUACUCGGGCCACGCAGCUGGAACCUGGAAAUUAGGAUUGGAAUCCUGAACUCCUAAAUCCAAACUACAGACUGGAAGUUACCAAAAAAUGUCACAGUGGUUCCUUGAUCAGGUAGAAAGAUGACAGAGCCCAACAUACCAGAACCUAGAAAGGUAUAUUUCUAAAAUAAGACCCCAACUGUCUUAAUUCGCUUUUAUUUUUGGCUGAUUUUUUUUCUUCCUGGUUGUGUUUAAGUUUCUGGUUCCCAAGGAGAUUUUUGCAAAGGGUAGGGUGCUGUUACCGAUACGCCCUGAAAUAAUAAUAGCUAACAUUUGUGCCAAACUUUGCUCAUUACUUUAUGCAACAAAUAUUUUUGAGUACCUCCAUGUACCAGGUCACUGGGGACUCACCACUGAACAAGACAGAUCCACGCCCACGUGAAGCUUACAUUGUGUGGGCAGAUAGACAAUAAGAUGCUAAGUAGUAUGUUAGAUGGUGGUAAAUACUAGGGAGAAAAAGUAGGGCAAAGAGAUAGGGAGCACUGGGAUGGACAUUUUAUUUUAUUUUAUUGUUAUGUAUUUAUUUAUUUUUGAGACGGAGUCUGUCGCCUACGCUGGAGUGCAGUGGCGCCAUCUCGGCCCACUGCAACCUCCACCUUCCGGGUUCAAGUGAUUCUCCUGCCUCAGCCACCAGAGUAGUUGGGAUUACAGGCACCCACCACCACGCCUGGCUAAUUUUUUUUUUUUUUAAUUUUUAGUCGAGAUGAGGUUUCACUAUAUGCUGGCCAGGCUGGUCUCGAACUCCUGGCCUCAAGUGAACCAUCCACCUCAUCCACCCAAAGUGCUGGGAUUACAGGUGUGAGGAACGGUGCCCGGUUAUGGGGAUGGUCAUUUUAAAUAGGCAGGUUAGGGAAGGCCUCACUGAGAACAGGGUAUUUGCAUAAAAAUCUACAGGAGGCGAAGGAGGCGGUCUAGAGGGAAGAGCACUUUGGUCAAAGGAUCAGGUGCAUAAAUGCGGAGGAAUGAGGAUGCCCGGCUUGCUGGAGGAUCAAGGGAAGGUAAGAGGGGUAGGUGAAGUCAGGAAGGAAGCGGGUAAGGGAGUGGGGGUGGAUCUUGGGGGCUUCACAGGUUAUUUUCAAGACUGGCUUUUACUUUCAAGACUGGAAUAGAGGAAUUAACAGAAAAAGGGUCUCAUUCCAGACCCAAGAGCAGGUUCUUAGACGUCCACGGCAAAGAAUCAGGGCAAGUCGCAGAGCAUAGUAGUUAAAAUAGUUCAUUAGAAACUACUCCAUUUCUAAUAAUAGUACUACUGUGUUUCUGAGUAGUAUCCUUGCUUUGAAGUAGUACUAAGCAAGUAUUGUUUAUAUAGGAGCACCUCUGCCUUCAAUGUAAUGCUUGCUUUUAUAGGGCUAAAACUAGCGUACUUCAUUACAAAAGCCUAUGAUCAGCUUGUUACAGACUAUUAGUAUUGUUAUUCUCUUGUGUAACUAUUGACUUCAGGGAGAAUUUAUGGGUGUACUGUUAUCUUUAAAGUGAAACUCAUUUUUAAACUAAGAAUGCCUUUUUCCAUUAUCUCAUUUCCUCAACCAUAAACAUCUUGUGAAGAGUGCCUAUCUUCCUGGGAAAGUCGCCCAGCAGGUUUGGCUUUAUCUGACCUUUAUUCAAGAUGGAAUCACUCUGGUUAGGACACUUCUGACAUAAUUCCCUCCUCCUUUUUACAAGGAGACCUUUAAUCCUAAGGGGUGCAGGGGGACAGAGAUCCAUCUUCAGUAACUUCAAGCUGAACAGAAGCGAUGAUAUUCCUGCCUAACCAUUAGGAUCCCUUUGCCCAAAGUAGAGAGCUAGCCAGUCAGAAAGCAUCUGUAUAGUGAGGACCAAUCAUACAUAAUUCUAAGUCCCAGAAAAAGGUGAAAUCUAGAAAAUUAACGUGUUAAAUUUAAAGAAGCAUUGAAUAAGCUUAACUCUUAUUCCUACAUAAAAAGUACAAUGCAGUAUAUUCCACAGCACAAAACAGAAUGAAUAGAAUUAUCCCAAGCAUGCUAAACAAAAAAAGUUUCCCAAGGACUAGGCAGUUGUUAGAACCAAGCUGAUAUGGGGUCAACUGACAGCGUGUCAAUGGCAGAGAUGUGGGUGUCUAAGUCUUUUGUGGCCUGAGUAACAUUAUGUGAAUAGUCUGGAAUGUAUGCAUAACAUUCUGUUUUGAUUAUAGCAUAAGUUCCCCCUUUGAGCUGCUGUUAACAUGUCCAGAGCCAUAGUUUCAUAAGGCUAUCUGUCUAAUUUGAGAUGUUUCUUCAGUCAAGAGGGUAAGGGCAUGGCGUGUAUUAUUGAAAACUGCAGCUGUGUUUAGCUAUGGCUUUGGCUUGAAGCUCAAUGUCAAUUGUGGCUGCCUGUGGGGAGAAGACAGUGUCAGGCCUCUGAGCUGAAGCUCAGCCAUUGUAACCCUUGUGACCUGCACCUAUAAGUCCAGAUGGCCUGCAGGAGCCAAGAAGUCUGGAGCAGCCAAAAAAACACAAAAGAAGUGCAACAAAAGAAGCUCCUGCCUUGACUGAUUGACCAGCCUUACGACGUUCCACCAUUAUGAAUUGUUCCUGUCCUGCCCCAACUGAUCAAUCGACCUUGUGACAUUCUUCUUCUGGACAAUGAAUCUUAUGAUCUCCCCACCAUGGACCCUGUGACCCCCUCCUCUGCUGACAAUAGAUAACCACCUCUAACUGUAACAUUCCACUGCCUACCUCAGUCCUAUAAAGCUGCCCCUCUCCUAUCUACCUUCGCUGACUCUCUUUUCGUACUCAGCCCACUUGCACCCAAGUGAAUAAACAGCCCUGUUGCUCACACAAAGCCUGUUUAGGUGGUCUUCUAUACGGACACAUGUGACAGAUAGCCAAUGGGUAAAACAACCAAGAAGACUGCUUUUGUCACUUAUGACGAGCUUUUACAGUUUCCCAGUUAGAUGGGAGAGAUUAUAAUUUAGUGAGGAUACAUCCUGGGAGAUGAAGAUGACCCUAUGUACAUCUUCCAGUCCAAUUAUAAGGCACAUAUGGCCAGCCAUGUGACCCACAUGCCCAUAAUCAACCCCAAGGAGAAGUACAAGCACCUAGCCAUAAAGACUCAUUUUGCCAUCCCAUCCACGUUUGGCUAGUUACAAGAAGGGUGCAAUUAUAGUGUUGGGGUAGUAACCAUUCCAUGUUACAGGUUUCAGUGUAGUAAUCACUGCUAUUGUCUUUCAAAGCAUAGGGGCACUCUGCCUAAUACCUGAACUUAGACAGCUGUCAUCCAUUCAUCGUGUACAGUAUAACCUUACGUCAGAGUGGAGUUUAAUUUUCUGAUCAAACAAAAAAGAGGCUUCUUUGUUUCACGGUGGGAAGGGAAAGGGCUGGGCCCUGUGUUUCUGUAGUAGAAGGGAAAAAGGGUGGUCCAUUUACCCCAAUCAUAAUAAUUUCCCCAUAUGCUCAUAGUGGCUGGCAGGAUGUGCCAGGGCAGCCUGAGGUGGAGGAGGCAUUAGUUCCGUGCAUACUCAGCAAUUAGUGUUGUUGUGUAGGGAGGCUAAAGUCUGUGCCCAUUUGGCAAAGAGAUUGCUUCUUAGCUGGUUCCAAUACAUGCGCAGAAUUAAGAUGUUAAUCCAAAUCUUUAAGUUAUU
This 3646-nucleotide long non-coding RNA is filed under the name Homo sapiens (human). Its description in RNAcentral is "non-protein coding lnc-TMEM206-1:3". Lineage: Eukaryota; Metazoa; Chordata; Mammalia; Primates; Hominidae. The record is from RNAcentral.